Molecule: transfer RNA, 72 nt
Filed under: Candidatus Pacearchaeota archaeon
Lineage: Archaea; Nanobdellati
Description: tRNA-Thr
Rfam family: tRNA
About the family: Transfer RNA (tRNA) molecules are approximately 80 nucleotides in length. Their secondary structure includes four short double-helical elements and three loops (D, anti-codon, and T loops).
Source: RNAcentral
GCCCCAGUGGCUCAGUGGUAGAGCACGUCCUUGGUAAGGACGAGGCCCCGAGUUCAAUCCUCGGCUGGGGCU